GGCAUCACCUCCAUCAUCGAGAAUCAUGUUUGGUUGCCAGUUUUCGGCUGUGACGCAUCGAUCGAUACACCACCAGAAAUCUUCUUCUGAUUCACCACGCCAUGCGAAUAUCGAGAAACCUGCCGAGUUUCCAACAAAAGGCAAUACAGGGCCACGUCACGUCAAGAAGCAACGACCAUGGCCCACAUUGACAAAGCGAAAAGUUACAAGCACAUUUUGAAAGUGGAGAAGAAGCAACAAAAACAAAGCCAGCAGCACGCGAAGCCAGUUUGAAUGUCACGUUGGGCUUAGUGCCUCCACCAGCAAUAACACCAACGUUAUUGGCUGGUCCUACCGAUCCUUGUUGUUGUCCAGUUGGAACGUUGUUCGAUUGGGCAACGGUGGCAUUGUCCACAUUCGAAACUGCAGUCGGUUGUCGCAUGAUGGAAGGAUGUUUAAUGGCAACCAACGGACUGACUAAAUGAUGUUUGCCCAAACGAUCCUUCUCCAAAUGGUGGGAUUUAGCGUCACUUUUAUCACGAUCGUUGGCAAAAGUUUCAUCGGCCAGUAACGUAUCUCCCAGCGAUUCGUUCUGGGCAACCGGUGUGUAGUUGGCCAUGAUGAUAAGGUUUCACUGCCACUUUUUUUUCUCGUUUUUUUUUGUUUCUUACUUGAAUCACCACCAACAACACACUGUGGAGCGAGUAGCCAGAUGGACCGAACUCAUCGACUGAUUCCAAGCAACUGAAUGGGUCGUCAACCAGCUGUCUGUCGAGUAACGAGCUUAGACAGACGGGAAAAAGAAAAUAGUUUGGUCAUGCAGGAUAUACACGUACAUUGCACUGUGGUGUACUAGUGCUGUGUGCUUUAAAAAGAGAAAGGGGAAGCCAUGAGACACAUACUUUUCGGCCAGGAGAAACGAGAGUGGGGAGGGAUUGGCAAUCUGAAGAGUUCUCCCCGUACAACCCUCCCUCAGGGCCAGCAAUGCACUUUUUUCAAAGAACGAUUAUUGAUCCAUUGAACGUUACCCGACUCAAAUGAUUUAUAAGUGUUUUGGAAAGCUAUUCGAACCGUGAAACCGAAUAAGCUUCCGGCCCACGAUGUUAAAUAGAAACCCAUGUUUAUUA
Daphnia carinata is the source of this 1106-nucleotide long non-coding RNA. RefSeq lists it as uncharacterized. NCBI's taxonomy places the organism in Eukaryota, Metazoa, Arthropoda, Branchiopoda, Diplostraca, Daphniidae. The record is from RefSeq and is a predicted model, not a curated record. The transcript is spliced from 3 exons.